RNAcentral lists this transfer RNA (77 nucleotides) under Patescibacteria group bacterium. Its description in RNAcentral is "tRNA-Ala". It matches the Rfam family "tRNA". Rfam says of the family: Transfer RNA (tRNA) molecules are approximately 80 nucleotides in length. The record is from RNAcentral. RNAcentral also lists the same sequence under 3 other names.
GGGCCUGUAGUUCAGUUGGCUAGAACGCCGCUUUUGCAUAGCGGAGGUCAGCGGUUCGAGUCCGCUCAGGUCCACCA